GAAAACGGCAAAUGAGGGUCCUGGUUCCAGGCAUGAACUUAGGGACAAAGCAAAUGCCAUGUGUAUCCUUCAGCCCUCAGAUAGCUGGGAGUGGGUCAUCUGGGAGACUCUCAUGAGAAACGAAACCAGAAGAUGUUGUUUUUCUGACUUUAGAUCACUUCGGGCACGGAGGAAGAGCAUGGGCAGCUGGCCCAGGACCCACCAUAUCACCUGAGCCAAGCAGGAGAGGCCCCUGCUCACCCUUGCAAAUGCGCUUGCCUUUGUCAGUGUCAACAGUCAAUACAGGGAAGUAGCAUGAGAAUGUGGCUGAGUUCCUCGGCCUUUCUUAGGACACAGUCAUCUUCGUUUUGCAUUUAAGGCAAGCUGAAGUGCUUAACAGCGGUGAGGUGCGGUCCAAAGCCUCUGUGUGCUUGAACUCACUGGAUCCUCUUGACAACCCCACAUGACAG
This is a long non-coding RNA of Bos taurus (domestic cattle), 449 nucleotides long. Lineage: Eukaryota; Metazoa; Chordata; Mammalia; Artiodactyla; Bovidae. The record is from Ensembl.